This 324-nucleotide ribosomal RNA is filed under the name Triticum aestivum (bread wheat). RNAcentral's name for it is "partial small subunit ribosomal RNA". Lineage: Eukaryota; Viridiplantae; Streptophyta; Magnoliopsida; Poales; Poaceae. The record is from RNAcentral.
AUGAUGGCCAAGAAACAAAUGAUCAAGGAGAAGAAGAUCAUUGAUGUCCUCUUAUCCGUUGAAACUACUGAAGCUCAAGGUUUUCUUUUUGAGGGCGGAGAUGAUUAUGCAGAAGUCAUCUAUAUGGAUAAAUAUGAGGAGGAGAUGAAUAGUACAGGGAUGCCAGGGAGUGUCAUUGGAGAAGCAAUGGGAGGCGAUGAACUGCUCGAGCCACGUAGAAGUGCGAGACCAAGACAACUUUAUGAAGAAGAAGAAUUUGAUUCUGAAGAAGAGGAGUUUGAUGAUGAGGAGGAGAUGCAUUCAGAUGAGGAGAAUGGCUAUUGA